AUCCUCAUUGCCUUCACCUUCAUCCUUCCUGCUCCUUUUUCACCUUUUCUAGCUGCUCACAGUCUGUGUUCCCUGAGCACCUCUCCCUCCUUCACACAUUUCUUGAGUCAGCCUGAAGUCUGCAAGAGGCAGGUACUGUCUUCACAGAAAACAAACUCUGCUGGUGGUCAUGCCACCCUGCCAUGCUCUGAGUAAACCUCUCAGCUUUCUUUGGAGAUCCCAAUCCUACCAGACCCACAGUCUUGAGAGAGUCAAAGCCAAACCAGAGGCAUGGAUGCAGCAGAGGGGGCUGAGCCUGAGCCAGGGGAAGUACCUGCCAGGGAGCUCCAAGAGCAGGGCAGGUGCUGCACCUCCUUUUUUUCUAAUAUUUUCUCUGAUUGUUUUUAUCAGAUAUAGACCCUGAGUUUUCCCAAAGAGGGACCUGUUGAGCUGCCUCUGGUAUGGGGGGCAGCAGACCCUCCCAUGUCCUGACAGCUCAUCUCCCACCCUGGCACUGGACCUCUGCCAAUAGAGUCCUGAGCUGGUUGGAAACAACAUCUGAUUUUCCUGGGUUUUCCCUGCUGGAGCAGGAUACCCCUCCACACCAGUGCUGUGUGCGCUGCUGCUCUGAGGGGGAAAAAGCUUCCCUCCACCGCUGGCAUCCAGACCCUAGUCUUUGGGAUUAGGCCUCCUGCUGAUCCUCCUGUGAGCACAGGAUGAGCUGCAGCCUCGAAGAAAAGGUCUGUAGAAAGCGUGGCUUCCUCAACACUCCUCCCAGCUCGUUGGAACGCCACAAGACUGGGCGCAGACUCAAAUUUCAGUGUGUGCUCACUCUGCUUCUCCUCUGCUGCCUUUAUGGAGGUGCUCCUGCUGUGCACCCACAGAUGCUGGAUGGAGCUCUUGGUGUUUGGAACCCCCAUGGGCAUUUACUGCUGGAAGCUUCUGAGAGCCGUGAGGAGGUGGGAGUGGAAGUUCAACAGUUGCAGGAGUUUUACUGUUCAAAGCCUGCAAUGGCUUCCAGACUUAAGUAUGUUUUUGUCUUCUCUUUUCUCUUUGUUGAAAUGAAGGAGCCAUUAGGGAUGGUCUGGAAUAUGGCAGACACAUGUUUGUGUAGUGUUACCGUUUAUAUGGCAGCAGGCUGGGCUGGAAAGCUGAUCAUCUUCUAAGAAAAUAAGUUAUGUCUGCUGCUUGUGCUCAUCUCAGAACUUUUUUUGAAGCCUCUUAAGUUUUGGACAUAGUUUUCAACUACCAAAAACUCUUAUUUAAUGUUUUGGGGUUUUUUAAGAGUUUAUAAAUUUAAAACCUCAACAGCUCAACAAGGAAACACCUGCUAAGAGUUGAAAGCAAGUGGAUCUCCUGUAAAAGGCUGGCACUGGAGCUGCCAUGAGAUGGCACUGCGACAUCAGGCAUGGAGCUGAGCCGCUCCAUCCCGCGUGGUGUGCGGGGAAGCACCCUCCUGGAGGGAGAAAAAAUGCCAAGGAAGAGAAAGGACUUAUAAAUGAGCUGGUUUUGAUGUUAAGACAGGGCCUUGUGUGGGUCUGACUCUUGGAAAGUAAACAGCAGCAUAUCAAAUGCAUCUCUGCACUCAGAAGGUAAGAGUGGGAUGAGUCUCCUACAGUACUGACAAGGUCAGGAAUAAUUCUGGAAGAAACCAGCAAAACCCAUACAGGUGUCCCUGAACCUCACACAGCAUGGCUGUGCCACCCCAAAACAUGUGCCAAGGGGUGCUCACACAAACCACCCUAAGGACCUGCGUUCCCUGGGCUCCAGAGAGGAAAAGUGCUUUGCUGCUUUCCUGCCUCCGUUGCACAUUGGACAUCAGAACAUCGUUACUCACAGCUGGCUCAUCAGGAUCUAUUUCACUCGAUUGUCCUCUAAAAAUGGUGUGCAGGAUGCUUCAAGAACCAACCUGGGGCUGCGAGGGCUGAGGGAACACUCUGGGAUGUCUGAAUUUACCUUUAAGCCACUCUCAGGUAGCUAACUCUGCAGUGAAGAUGCCCCAGGGCAAUGAGCUGUGGUCCUGCUGUCCCCAUCGAUGACGGCGGCCAGGCACUUGUGCCAGAAGGAUGCAUGUGAUGUGUUUGGAGAGCACAUCACCCUGCUGGAUUGGAGCAGGUGGAAGUGAAAUGAGUGGUUAAAUAAAUGCAGUGGCCGCCUGCACACAAUGUGACAGUACUUCCAGAACAAUGGAACGUCCUAUAUCAGAUUUCAUAUCUCCUGUCAAUUGAGAUUGAAGGUAUCGAUUAGGUUGAUUGCUGGGGACAAACAGAAAGUGGAAGGGUAAUUGACUGUCAUGUCCCUCAUUGAUUUGGGCACCACAGUUCACAGCAGCCAACAGUAUUUGCAAGCACUUUGCAGCAUCUCCUUUAACAAAGAAAUACAGACUUUAAGUAACAAAGUGACUUAUGUGCACUGCCACUUAGAGGGUGGGUGAGGACAUUCUUAGCCAACAUGUCCUGGAUUAACCAAAGUGAAAGGUGUCACCAGGCAUGCUGGGGCAGGAAAGCAUGGAUUUCUGUUUGCAGGUGAGUCACUGUGAGCCCACAUGGUGCUGUGGGACCAUCCCACUCCUUGGUGCUUGGCUGUAGCAGAUAUUAACAGAGGGCCUCCGAGACAGCAAAGGCACUGCACAUGGGCCACGGGCCAGGAGAGUAUAACCUCCUCUCUCUAGGUUGUUUGAGAUGUUAAAGCAACAAAUAUUUUAUAGCAUGUGUUCUACUAGGGCUCGCUAGCAGCUGAUCCAGAAAAAGUGUCCUGGGAGAGGAGCAAACUGGGAAACAUCCCAAGUUGCUGCAAUCAAAUCCACAAAAAGCUCAUAUAAAAAUUUUACAUAUAAUCAGAAGGAUGGAAAAAUUACCUUAUUCCCUGCUGUGCACUUCAGAUUAAUAUAGCCAAACAUUAUUCAAUCCUAAUACUUAUGGUGACCAUGAAACCUCUUCCUGUACUUACUGGAAACAGCCAGAUAAAAUGGCUUUUCUUCUGGAGGAUAUGUGUCUGCUAUUGGUUUUUAACAGUCUGUUCUACCUGACAUUUCUGCUCCUCACUGGCAAGCUCUUUUGGGUAGGGACUUCUCCCUGUGAGCAGAGGUCCAGUGAAAUGAAUGGGAUUUAGUUGUUCAAUGAGAUUCCAGUGUCUAAAUACCUUAGUGAACCUGACUGUGGAGUGGGUACAGGGAUGAAGAUCCCACUCCUGACUCCACAAAACCCAGAACUGGUUGCAUUCCAAUCAUGGCUAAAGCAAACUAGACUGUAGAGUGCCAGGUUACCAUACAUGCUGGUUUCCCCAGGCAUUUCCCACCUGACCAUUGUGUACGGGCCCAUUUGGAGUCUUUUGUGUGUUUGUCUCAGAUUUCCCAAUGUCUGGCAGCCUGUUGGGAGCUGCCAGAUGUCCGGAGACGCUGACCUCGCCUGCUAAGCAUGCACGAGCUCUUCCACUGCAGGCUCAAAGCAAGCCCAGUGCCUCCAGCACCACGGGGCUGGCCAUGCACGUGGUGUCUGGUCCUUUGAAGGGUGUGUAGGAAGCCCAGGAGGUGCCAAGGAUUCUUCCUACAGCCUGUCCCAGCAGUACAGCCAGCUUCAGUCAGUGUGAUGCAUCCUCAAGUCCUUGUCCUGGUGCACAGCACUAUUUGUUCAAGUCAUUUUAGUUUCAGGAGCAAUAUAUGGGUGGGAAAAUACAUGCCAGAAGAAGCCAAUGGAUUUUGUGAAUGUGCAUAAAGCAUGGAGGCUGCUCCAAUGGAUCUGUGUUGUAGCCUCUGUUCCUUGAGCACGUGCUCUAAGCCCCAAAGCUGGCUUCUUGCUUACAAAUGGGACUUAAUGAGCUGCCCUUGGCUUUACCCAGAUUUCUCAUUUAUUUCCUUCUCAGCUUUCAGGUGGUCAAACCCUAUUUCGGUGAGUUUUGGGCACUCCUCACCCACUGCCGCUGCUCAGCUGAGCCAAGAUGUUCCUCGCCUUGGGUUUUGAGCUGUUAAACUGCUCAGCCCAACCUGCUUUUGGUUUGCUUUGUCUUGACUUUGGUGCUGCUGGUGAACCGAAACACCCAUCGCUCGUGUCAUGGGCCGUGGGCAGGGCUGAGUGGGGAACUCGCUGAAGCCACCGAAAUCUCAGCGCCGGGCGGCAGCCCCGUGGGCAUCGCUCAUGAGUCAGCCACGCCGCGGGCCCCUGGGGCGCCUGAAGAGGUUUCUCAUCCCACCCAAGUUUCCUUUCCUGGGAAGCAGGGUGGCCGUGCUGUGGUGCGUGGGCUGUGCGAGCUCCCAGAGAGUCAAACCCAAACUGAGCUGACGGAAUAGCUGUAGUCUCAAGCAUCCAGAGCAAAACCUCCUCUGCUGGAGGCUUAAAAUGCUGAUUACACAGAGCUGGCUGGCCCUGGGGUUACAGUUGAGGUGCUGGCUCAGACCACGGUUAAAUGUGCAAGAGAAACAGAAAAAGUGCUGUGCUAGAUGGGGUCAAUGCAUCAGUAACUUCAGAGAGAGGCAAAGCUUACAAACAGCAGCCAUGUGCUGCUUACUCCCCCUCAGAUUUUGCUGUUAAUCCCAACAAUCCCAUACUGGUGGGUUUAUGGAACUGUCAGACUAGGAUCCCCUCUGACCCCUCUUAAAAUAACUUAUGUGAGGGCUCCACACACACUUCUAGUGAGCAGCUUCUCUAUUCCCAUUGCAUCUGCUGGAGAGAGGAUGACAAGGAGGAAGAGGAAGGUUGGCUGAACUGGAAGUUAGCACUUAAGGACAAAAGAAUAAAAAAUUCCAAUGCCACAGCAGUAAUUUCCAAAAAAUAAUAAGCAUUUCUCCUCAGCGAGUGGAUAUAUUGCAGGAAUAUAUGGCAGGACAAGCAGGGCAAACACGUCACAGUGAAACAAGAGUUAAACAACCUCCAAUCAGCCCUGUGAUGGAUCAUUAAGGAUGUGGAGUCUAAACAUGCAGUAAGAUUACAGCAUCGUGCAGAUGUUCCUAUACCGGCAGCUUAUUUUGCAUAUUGCAAAGUAUAGAGAUAAUUCCUGGUAGCAAAAGACUAACCCAUCCCACAGUGAAUGCACACUUGGAUUGCUGGAUAAGGUGAGUUUUGUGGGGUGGGAAGGACUGAGCUGAACUGCUGCUGCCUGGGAUUACAGCUGCCUUCAGCCUACAGCGAGACGUGACCUCUGCACCUUUCCCAGGCACGGUGUGCAGCAGGGACAGAUCAACAAGGAGUGAGAUGGGUUAAAUAAACAACAGAGGAGGACUAAGUAAGUAAAUGCUGAGGAAUUCUCUUUUUUUAACAUGUAUAUAUUGUAAAGAAAUGUAAGGCAACAUUCCUCCUGCUAAUUAGUGUUUCCACGGCGCUGCAAAAACUACAGCUGUAGGAAGAAUUCAGGAAAAGUAAUCAGCAGCACAAUUAAGCAAUCUGCCAUAAUGACAGAACACAACAUUAGGGAUAGAAUAAUCAGAAACAUGUAUAUUUUUCCUUCAUGAUUUCCAUUUCCCACCCAGUGAUUUGCCUUUGCAGGGUGUAUAUAAAGCAAUGCGUGAUGGCAAUGCUUGUAUUUGUCUGCUACAGCUUCUAGACCUUGCUCCAGUGAGAAUGCCCAUGUUAAUUCUUGCCAAUCACUUCCAACUGAUGUUGUUUUUUACUGUAUUUUUAAAAAACCUAAUGUUUGAUGUGCUUUAAUCCCAAAUUUGCCACCCUGUCUCAUGUAAACUCCUUUAACUUAGAGGGUCUAAAUCCUUUAAGUGGAGGAUAUCCAGACAAGAAAUUCUGGAGCUGAGGUCCCCAUGUUCCUGCCUGCCAUCCCACCUGAGGGAGCAGAGCAGGGAGAUGCUUCACACUGUGUUUUUGCAACCUCCAGUUCCUGCUCAGGAGAGGAAAACGCCUACACCUGUGAGCAGACAGUGAGGGAAUGGGCCUGACCUGCUCCAUCUGCACAAGCUGUUUUCCCAGAGCUCCCUCAGGCUACAAGAGCCCACAAGGAAGGUAAGCUCUCCUCUGGGGAGGUGCUUUGGAAGGGAGAAGGGAAAUAUGGCCCCUGAGAAGGGGCUCCCAUGCCUUUCAGCUCUCUGCCAGCCAUGGAUCAAGGCUGGUUGGAAUGAAGCCACAGGGAAAAGGAAGACCAUGUGUUGCUGUGGGAAGGUAGGUGUUCUUGGGCUCUGCUUGGGGGGCUUGCGGGCUGCUGGGAGGGGGGUGCAGUGAAAAACUGAGAGAGAGGAGCGGUUUUGGUGGAGUCAGGAGUGAUUUUUGUGCCUUGGGAAGCUACAAGCGUUAGUAAUGGGACUUAGUGAGUUUUGUGGUGGUACUUCCCAGGAGUUGGAUGUGCUGCUACUGAAAAAGGCCACCAGCCUUUCCCUGGAAGGUGGAAGCACUAUGGUGGUGUUGCAGGAGCCUGUCUUUCCAGGAUGGUGAAGCAUGUUGGAUUGCUGCUGAAGGUGUCUGGAUGGAGUGCUCAGCAUGUGCUCUGUUCAGCUGGGGUGUGUUGAUGCCCUGUUAUCCUCCCACAGUCAUGUUUCCUCCUGCUCAGUCACAGAUGGAGCUUUUGCUUAUUAGUGCCCCUUAUGGUGAGAGUUUUCUGGUCCUGGAUGUUCUUGGGAGAAGUGGCUCAAGUUUGUAACCUCUGGUGAGAGGGAGGACCUCGGGUGUUUGAAUUUACAGGUGGCUGCUAAAAACUUAGUUUCCAUCAGAAAUAAGCCAGGAAAUGUAAAUAUGUUACACUGACGAAUCUUAUGAAUGCAGUUCUCUGGUUUGCAUCCUAUAUAUCUUAAUAAAAUGACAACUAUGAAGUUGUUAUAUAUUUUGAGAAUUAAGAUAUCAUAAUGGGAUAAGCUCAGCUGGGAGCAUAACACCUUCAUAACCUUAAAAAACUUUUUGCCUUCAGGGAUAGGCUUAAGAUAAAAACCUACAAGAUCACCUUAGACUGAGGAGCCCCACACCUCCUCAUGUGCAGGAAGAUGUGAGUUCCAGCUCCUUCAGGCACUAAUGAAAAAUCUCAAUGCCACUUAAAUCAGUUUCUGAUAUUUGUAUGGCAAAAGACCAGGUAUCUUGGUGGCCAGAUUCUUCUGUCACUAAAGCUGGUGAAAAGUCACGUUACCACAACCCCUUCCAGAGCUCUUGUGUCAGAGCUGAUGUUCUACAUGUUUCUUUUUCAUCUGUGUGACUGCCUUGCAAACAAAUAUACACUCACGGGGCUGUUCCUCCUUUUCCCAUGUGCCCAUGUAAGUGGAAUUUGUUGGGAACACCAGCCACAGGGAGCAGAGAUGUGUCUGCAAAACUUGUUCAUGAAAUCCCAAGCCAUGGAGGAAUGCUGGGUUAAUUUUUCAUCAGAGUAUCAGCUGAAAGUAAUGUAAACCCCAAAUUAAUGCAGACAAUGCCUAAUCUGGUCUGCAGGCCCUCUGUAUUUUUGAAUUCUUUUCUACUAAAACUCAAUAAAAACAUGGGGGUGGGAAGGUGCUGCUGGGAAUUUGCUUUUUGUUCUCUUUAAGUGCUGUAUUUCUCAGCAGUCUUCAAGUUGCUCAGCAUGAAGAUAUUGUUACAUUAGAACUACUGUGGGUUUAACACAAUUCGGAAUUUGCAGGCAAAUGGAUGUAUUGUGUUGGGGCUUAUCCACCGAGGACUGUGAAACUACAAAUUACAACCCAGCUGCAUUCUCUUAUCUGGAUUUUUUUCCCCAUGUGCCUGUGAGUCCUCCCCUCUGCACAAGCAGAAGGUACAAGGAGAAACCUGAUUGAGAAAAAGAAACAUAGGCUCAGAGUCAAAAGGGACCCUGACAGGGGAGAUCCUGCUCGUGUCUAUGGAUGCUGCAUUUGGAUGGGAUGGGGUGGCUGGUGCCUUUUCUGAGCUGGAUGGAGUUAGUGUUUUCCAUUAGCAGAGGAUGUGAUGCCUCUGGAUUUAGUGAUUGCCUGGGGAUUUUGUUGCUGUAAUUCUCCCUAGAAAACUGUGGCAAACAGGGGAAUAGUCAGCACAUCCACUGAGCAUUUCUCUGAUAAGUAGGAAGAAGGGGGCUACUUAUUCUCUUGGAUUGCUAAAUACAGCAGUGAAACAGGGGACCCACCAAUUUCAUGUUCUCAGCUGUACUUCAUCCUCAUUCUUCCUCUUUGAAGGGAAUGAUAAAUCCCCAGUAGGUCCCUAUGGGAGAGGUAGAAGGUGCUUGCACCUUUGAGACAAGGCUUUACCACCUUUUGCUAGCCCUGGGCAGGUUUUGCCUACCUUUUCCCAGUUACACAGCUGGAGCCAGGUUAUGCACCAGAGCCUGGUGCCACAAGCAUGGACACCUGGUUUGGGAACAGCACUGAAACAAACCUGUCUGGGCAAAGGUGCUGUACCACCUAUAUCUGGGACAAGCUCUUGGCCUUUGUUCUUCUAAGCAAAGGGUCAUACGACCUGAUUUUAGCGAUAUUCUGGACACCUGGUAGCCAGUAAGAGGCUGAAAACUCAAUGACCCCACGAUAAUGUUGUUAUGUUUAUUUGCUUCCUUUCAAAUGGCUGUGGACAUGAAGGAUGCUGAAAAAUGGGACCUGAACUCGUGCAUUUAGUUGACCAGGAAAUAAAUAUAUCAGUGUGACAGUACUUCUUUGGACUCUUUUGAGACUUGGGAAUUGCUGGCCAUUCUAUUUGCUGGCUCAGUUUAAGCAGCAGAAACGUCCAUGUGUUCUGUCAAAGCACUUUACUUGUGACAGGCAAAGUGCUGCCCUGAACUGAAAAACCAUUCAGAGCAAAUAAAUGCAUUAGUUCAAUGCAGAGUAUCUUAUAUUUGAUACACACCACUUCCUAAUCACUUUACUGAACAUCUGGAUGGCCUUGAAAUGAAACCAGUGUUGGUGUCAUCUUCAAUUUGGACAUGGGAUCCAUUUCGGAGGGCUUUUCCCAAGAGAGCACCUCUUGGAUCUUGGUAUCAUUUAGGUUGGGUCCUACAAGUCUAAUGUAGAGUAAAUAAAAUUAAGAGUUGCUUCAAUGCUGAAGGAGGACAGAAGGUAGCACGUGGGAGCCAGCUGAGCCCUUUUUAGCCCAAACUGUAGAAUCAUAUUAAAAAGUGCAGAUGUUACCAAGGAAUGGGGAUUUUUCAUGUGUCUGAAACAGGGUCUGUGCUUCUUUCUCUUAGAGAAGUACCCAGUACAGGUACUUCUUGCAGCAGAAAUGAGAAUAAUUAAUUAUGACUGUUAAUGUGGUGUACAAGAGACUGAAAUUAAACUCGUAGUACUGGUAAAAGAUGCAAAAGAAACGGAGGGUGCAGAGGCACUGGCUGAGGAGCCACUGGUGAGGAGUGAGAGUGAAGGGGGAUGACUUAAUGAACGAGAGAUGCAGUCGCAUCACGGCGAGUCAGGCUCAGCUGAACAACAACAAGAACUAUUUGCAACGUCUUUUUGUCAACAUCUGUUUGCCUUUGAGUUCAUUAAAGUGGAACAAAUCUCACUGAUCUUUUUUUUUUUCUUGUGUUGAAAUUUUGCACAAUUGUUUCUGUUAUUUUGGCAGCCAAAAUGAUGCUGGAAUGUUUCACCUUCUUUUUCCAAGUUUUUGAGCUGAGUUACUCAGUUGAGGUUUGUCACAUAAACCAUGAGGUUUUACUUCUGCUGCUAGCCAAAUUAUAAUCUUUAUAUCAUGAGCCUUUUUUUGUUUAUUUCUAUUUCCUUAAAGCUUCAGCUUCUGGAAUCAUGAGAAUGCAUGAAAAUCUCUGCUCCUGCUUUCUGUCAUGUGUUUGUUUUCCCUUGAGUUUUUAGCACUGAGAACUGUGGAGAAACUUUUGGGUGUCAUCUGAGAGAUGAAAAAUGGAGUUCAUUAAUUUUUUCUUUUUAAAUACCAGCUAGAUAAUUUUCGGAAACUAUGACUCAUGAUUUUCAAUGUUUAGAUUUGGCAAUGCUGUAGUUCUCCGUGCCGCUUCCCCGUGACCAGGAGUGUUGGAAGAAGCCAUUUCUCCACAGGCGAGUUCCAGCACAGAGAGCCAGGGUGUGAAUUCCCAGUGGCCUAGUUAGGCUGCACAGAUUCCCCAUGAGGAUGCAGAGUGUGCUCUACCUGCGCUUUGGAAGUGUUCUCAGGGCAUACCUCUGUGAGUAACACAAAACUUGUGGGUCAGAGGCCCUAGAGCUGACACCACCAUGCUCCAGCUCACAGACAGAAAGCAGCACAGAAGGCCGUUUCGUGUUUCAAACUGCACUUACUGGCAUGGACACAGCUGAGGUGAUGCUGCUGUGAGGAUAUUGAGCACCUCCCAGCUGUGCAGUGCCGUGUGGUUAUAGUUGGUGGGAUGCCUUCUGGGUGCUCUGUGUGAUGCUGAGCCUCCUCAGGUGCCCAGGGCUGGCUUCUCCUAAAACCCAUCCCCUGUAUCUGAAGGGGUAGCUGGAUAGCUGCUCUGUUCUCUGAGCCUGUUGGUGAGGACUUGUGGCUCUGGAGCCAACCUUUCUGCUCAGCAGGGCAGGGCUGCUCGGCAACACUCAAGGGCCAUGUAGGGAAAGCAGUAACACUGUGUGACCUCUGAGGGGCUUCCCAAGGCUUGCAUGACUUGGUUUAACACAAACCUGCCUGUGGGUUCCUCGUCUCUAGAUUGCUAUGAACAUGUCGUGGCUCCUUGGAACCACGUAGUAGGCAUCAGUGGGAUGGGGAAACUCUUGGGUGCCCAGUGGGGAAUACAUUGGAUGAGCUUGGGAUGAUCUUGAGGGAGCAGUUUCAAGUCCCUUCUGGCUGUCCCCAACAACUGUAGAAAGAAAAGGGAAAAUAAACCAUUGGGGUAGACCUGGUAAAGGCGGGCAAGGGGGAGAAACAGGCACUUGGCAGUAAUUCAGUCCCUCAUGAAGGAAGAGCUGUGGUAGCUGUGGGGUACCCACUGUACCCAAGGCCAAAUUUGAACAUCUGCUGGGACAAAACCCAGGAGAUGGUGCCACUGGAGCAGCUCCUCUGGCCAGGCCAGGAGGGAGGGAAGGAGCUGCUGUGGCUGGAGCCCCUGGGAAGGGCGCUCAUGGGGAAACCAGGAUGCUGCAGGGUGCACUGGGGCGGAGGGCAGCUGGGAGCAGGCUGAGGUCUCUGCCCCUCAGGAAGCUGUAAGGGAUUUGUGUGUUUUCCAAGGCAGCAGAGACAGGAUGCUGAGGGGUGGGAGAGAGACAGAUUUCCUUCUGCUGUGAAUAGGCUGGGGUGGGGGGAUGGUGGCUCUGGCUUAACCCUUGCCUGUUUGUUCCUUUCAUCUCCAAAAUGAAAUGGUGUUCUUAGCAAAUCAUUCCAAGAAACUGCAGGAAUGAGAGGCACAAAAAGUACUGUGUUGUUGGCACCGGGGUGAUGCCGUGAGUUUUAUUAUCCCAGUUCUCUCGCCCCCAGGCGUGUCUCCCUGGCUCUGGCAUUUCUUUUUCCUUUGAAGUUUGUUUGUUCAGUGGUGCUGGCAUUGUUAUGACCCACAUGAACACCAGCAAUGCCAGGGGAGAGGCUUAUGGGACAUUAUCUUGAGUUAGGUAGAAGCAGCUCAUAGGAGACAGCUGCAGGUUUGGGUGCUGUAACAAAUUUUCACCAGAAGCCCAAAAAGGAUGGGAUUUCACUUGUCUUUUACAUCAAGGGUGGGGGGAAGAAAAAGUCUUAGGACUAACUCCUGAAAUGGUUCCUGCUCUUGUUCAACAGUGAAGGCUCUUCUGUCUCUCUUGUAAAGUCGUUAAUAGAACAACCUAGAGGAACUGGAGAAGUGAAAGAAAACCCAACCACCAUCACCUCCCACCAGCCAAUCCAAGCCCUUGGAAAUGCUGUGGAAACAGGACCUGUGGAAGACCUUUAGGGCAUGAGCAUGUAAAAUAAUUUGGGAGAGGUACCUGGAACAUGGGAAGCCAGGGACAUCUACUUUGUUUACUGCACUGGAGUCUCCCAGAGCAGUGGAGAGUCCACAUGGCUGAAAGCUGGCAGGCAGGCUGCAGGUGUGGUGAAAGAGAUGUGUUUUCUAAACACACUAAAUACUUAUUGCUCCGGCCUUUUGUAGAUAAAGAUCAGCUUUGACUUUAAAAGAAAUUACAGCAGAAGUGCUUGUACCUGGGAGGAUGAGUACCUGCUUCCAGGUUGGGCUUAGUAGAACUGAACUUCAUAAACAAAUUAUUUGCUGUAAUUAAGCAUGUUAGAGGGUUGAUGGAAAUGUGCCUCCAACUCACACAGUAUCGGGGUGGAAGCUGUAAUGUGUUGGCCAGAGAAUCACCCUGGGUAGGAACAAACAGCCACAAUGUUCUUGGGUGUGAAGUUUCCCAUUUAUAUAAUUUCUUCUCUCUGAAAAAAACCCAGAGCAGACGUUUAAUGUGCAAGGAUGGCAGAGAGCAGUUGUGAACCAACGAGAGCCAAAGAAUUUGUAGGAAAACAUCUGGUCUCUAGGCCAACCAGAUAAAGAGCUUUUGGUAGCUGUGAAAAUGUUUCUGCCCUAUGGCUGUGCUAAUUUCACAAGGAAAAACAGUCUCUCCUCAUUCACUUUUACAAAGUUUGAAGGUUGGAAUAUAGAGAUACAGGUCUAUUUAUCCCUGUGAUAAAGGUGACAAAAAAACCCACAAAAAACCCUCCUCAAAAUAAAACUAGAAAUGAAUGUGUUGAUUAUGAUGUAGGCAAAAAAUACCAAAACCAAAAUGCAAAAUAUUUAAAGCCUGAAAUGGAGUGGAGGCAAGGCAAGCUAAGCUGAAUAUCUUGAAGCCUGCUCCAAGAAAUGAAAAUGUUUCUUCAUACCAAGCAUGCUCUGAGUGAGCUGAGUUUGCUUGGUCUCAAGCUGAUGACAGAAGCUUUUAACAGAACAAAUAAUGCAAAAGAGAAGAUUAUUCUCUGCUAGGAAAAAUUAUUUUCCCCCCCCCCUUUUUUUUUUUUUCCUUCCAACUGGGAUAUCAGGUCCCUGACUGGCAUAAGAGCUCGUUCACAAACUGGGCAAGGCUGGACAAGCCAUUUCACCCAGGAUGAAAAUCCUAUCACAGCUGGGGUGUGCAAGGGUUGAAGGAAAUACUGUUUUGUGCUGUUUGGAAAUUGAUUGCUUGGGAUAAAAUUGUAUGUUUAGAGGGAGAUUUCCAGGUGGGAUUAGCUAUGCUUUGGUGCUCCCAGCAGUUGACAGGGAGGCAAUGAUAGGGAGAGCAUGAAAUGUUGUGCUGUGGUCUAAAAGCUGAAGGGUAGGUGGGAACCUUGCAGGCAGGUUUCUGCGGGCUGUGCUCUUGUUUUUGUCCACCUGGUCUAUGGCAGGAAAACCUGGGCUUGCCCUGUGUGUCCUCCCAAAGCUCAGCAGCCACCACCAUCACUGCGUUUCCCCUGUGAGCAGACAGCAUUGGCAGAGGCAAUGCUGUGUGUAGAAAUGCUCUGGAGGUGGGUGUGGGGGAGAUGGAGGAUGGGAAGGUGUGCUGGGGGUACACUGGCUGUACAGAGUUCAGUGGGUGGGUGGGACUGUCUGUCCAGGUGACAUCCCUCCUUCCAAUGAGCACUGCCCAUCCCAUCCUCUCCAGCCUCCGCUCCCAGGCUUGAGCCAAAGUUCCUACCCCAUCCAAUUGCUCCAGUUAAUGCUGUGGUUUGUUUUUCUUUAUUAAGAAGAUGGCUUGAGACCUGCCUGUUUUUGAGUCUAGCUCCCUUUAAUCUGUCCUUACCAUGAUUGAGGUUAACUGAGUUUCCUGCCCAGCAGCUCCUUUGGCAAAUUAGAGAGAACCAGUGAGACACUGUCAAUAAACUUCCCACUGUAUAGAUUUUGUCCAGCAGAGCCCGAAUAAAUUGGGUCAUGCUGCCAUAUGUAAUCCAUGCACUUGAGGUUUGACCUAGCUCUUGUGAAAACUAGUGGGCAGGGAUGUGUCUGGGAGCCGGACUGGAACUAUGGCUGAGACGCACAAAUUUUGAAAGAGCUGGGGUGGAGUCGUGCCCUUCAUUUUUGUGGACCAGUUUCAUUCGUACAGGAAGAUGAUUGAUGUCUUCCCGCGGGAGCUUUUGUCUGUGCUGGAGUGUGUCUUGAACAACAUUGCCAAGAUACCUUGGGGCUGGGUUAGGUAAUUAUUUUGUGAUUAGAUGCUGAAAUCAAAUAAAUAAGUUAAUCAUUGUACAAGUUCAGAAGAAAAUACAUUUAUUUAAUCUGAAACUUCUUCACAAUGGUUAUGCACAACUCUGUCAUCUUCUGCACGAUGUUGGCCUCGGGUCUGAUGACUUCCCACCAAAUGAAUCGCUAGCUUCCCAUGGCCCUGUUGAUGCAAAGUCAGGAGGAGGCAGGAUCCUUUUCCUUUGCUCUUUUGGGCAGUUGACUUCAACCCUACAAGUGGUGGCGAUGGGCCAACGUGGCUGCCAUCAGCAAUCACAGUUCAUAUUUGCAGCACAGGCAAGAUCAGUGCACUAACCAGGGGGACUCCUCUUUUGAAAAGAGGCUUUGAAUGAUGUCAAGAACCACCACAACGAUAUGGUUUUUACAUAAAUAAUAAUUAAUUGCAUGUAAAUCAGACUUUUCCCCACCCCUUCCAUUAGUAUCGUCUUUGGUAAGCUCUCUGCCUUGUUUCUGUCUGCUCACUCUGACUAGUUGAAUGGCAGCAGACAUCAUUUGCAAUGCUAACGUCAGAUACGGGUCAAAAUGGACAAGGAAAACACAACCCGGGGUUUUAUCAAUGCAAUAACAACCAAUUCUGUCUAGAGAUGGUAGCGUUCUGGGGUUUAACCUCUUCACUGCCACAUAGCAAGAAACACCAGGAAUUUACUUUUCUGGCCUCCUCUUCUGCUAUUUCUAACUUCUCUUUCCUUCUCUUGGCCACUCUCUUUUUUCUUUUUCCCCCCUCUCUUAUGUUUACUAGAGCAUCUGGUAGUGUUUAUCUCCCAAAACACAGGAGACUGCUGUUUUCGUAGAUAUGUAACUAGAGUAAAAGCUUUAAUCUUUGUUGAUGUUGGACUUUUGGAUUGAAAAAUAGUCAUAAUAGUGGAAAAAGUUAAGAUGAAAUAAUAUUUCAGUGUAGUACACUUUUGAGACAGGAUCAACAGAAAACCCCUCACGGGGAAAGUCACAAUUACUACAUCUCCUUCCCAGGGAAUACUGAACUUGGCAGGGAGAGCAGGGCAGGGAGUGAGGACACCAUCUCCCUGAUGUGGUACUGCUUGUCUCAUUGGAAGCUGAAUGUGUGGCAUGUCCUCACGGACAUUUCUGCAUGUGCUCCUGCAGCAGGAGUUUAAGCAGACCCAGAAAUGCCAACAAGAUGUUAGAAAUCUGUUUCCAUCUCUGCUGGCUUUCAGUACUGCCUUCCAGGAAGGCAGAGAAGGAGCUGGUCUGGCCUUCAGCAUAGUCAGACUACCCUUGGGUUUUGUAGCCCCUAUGGAGGUCAGAGGAGGAGAUGGUGCUUUGGAUUUGUCUCUUGCUCUAAAGAACUACAUUGGUUUUCUACGGAAGCUUCAGAGAUGCUGAGAUUGGGUUAAUUAGAAGUUGUCAAGAUACAGCAAGAAGUGUUGCUGUCAUCAGAGAGAUGUAGAAAGCGUUACAGGAAUUGGGUAGCAAAAGGCAGGUAGGUGUCUGCUAUCUGCAGAAGAUUUUAUCUGCUGCCUUCCCAGGGGACUAGGCACUGUCCCAAACCUGCAGCAAAGUCAGCUAUGCUGGAAGCAGACCUGCAAAAUCUGGGUGGCUGCUGCUUUCCUAGCAAGAAUGUAUUCAGUUGCUAAUAUUGUAAAUGCUUCGUGGUACAUUUUUAUAGCAAUAGCAUUUAUGUAACUUAAGAUUUUUAUGUAAUUUAAUUUAAGAUUUUUAUGUAAUUUAAGUUUUUAAACUAAAUGCCUUAAUUCAGGUGCUAUCUACUCCGAUUUCCACCCUCACCCUCCUGCCAGGAAAGGUGUAAACCUGACUGUAAGAUCUCCAAACUUCUGGGGAUAAAAUGUUUUUGGAAAACCCCCACUUUGGGAAGGCAGUGAGCCGAUGAAAGAGAGCUUAGCCUGUAACUUUGUUAAGGCAGUAAUGAACCAAGCUAAUAAAUUACCUAAUGUCACCUUAGGAUAGGUCCGUGGCCACCUGUCACACAGCAGCACAUCAAGCUGGAGACGCACAGUCAGCCUCUCCUAACCUUUGUACCUCCUCCCGCUAACCAGGGAGCUGGUUCUGGAAAAGACCAGGCCUGCAGAGUCCUGCAAACCAAAGAGUAAAAUAUUAAUAAGCCAAAGAGGAGCUGGAGGUGUCAGCGAGGCUCUGGCACAGCCAUCGGGGAUAGCACUGCUGGUCUCUGCACAAAGGGAACAGCAAACGGCUUCUCCGCAGAAAAUUUCACCCAACCAAUUUUUUUUGCAUGCAAAAAUGCAGAUUCAGCAGCACCAAAACGGUCUGUGCACACAUGCCAAACUUGUCAUUUAUAAAAACUCAAAAAAGCUCUGACAAAUGCUGAAGCUGUUAGUUUUGACACUUCUGACAUGAAACACUUUGAUUUUUCAUUUUGAAACUACUUUGUGUUCAAAAUGUCCUUUAAUUUUAUUUUCAAGCAAGGGGGUGUGUGUCUUUUCUUAUUCCCCCAAAAAAUCAAAAUUGAAAUGAAAUCUUCAGAUUGACUCAACAUGAAAUUGUUCUUGGAUUUUUUAUUUCACCAGGGUUUUUUUUCUUCUUAGAUGUGUUUGGCUUUGAGUCACUUUUUUCACCCCACAAUUUGCCAGUUGAUUUUAUCAAGAGCCACAGCGAACAUCAGCCCCUUUGAAGGACCACAGCUGGCACAAUAGAAUAUUUUUUUUGUGGAUGUCAGUUGUGAAAAGAAAAAAAAAAAAAAAGGAGCCUUGCUUUUCCUUUCCAGGAGAUUGAGUUCAUUUUCUAUCUGACUGGGAUAAAUAAUAAACAGUAUUUUUUUUUUUUUUCUGCUGUGAGGGAUUGUGUUACGUUAUCUGUUUAAACAUUCCGUUACAUUUUAGUAAUGUGAAUAAUGAUUAUUCCUGUGCUUCUGAGCUCUCCCUCUUGGCUCGGGCGCCGGAGGUUCAGGAGACACCUGGCAUUGUUGACAGAGCGCUGAACUCGAACGCCUCUCACUGUGACAGGGCAAGCCCAAAUAUUUUGGGAAGAGUCCUUGUUAUGUUACGACAGGGGUUGGUAGCACUGAUGCCGGGGAUGGGUUUUGCUUCAAUACGGAGCUGAUUAUGCUUUAUUAUUCGGGGAACAGCAUGAACCUUGGCAGGCAGACUGCUGGGAGAAGGAGGAUUGGACUUGGGCAUUUCUUAUUUGUAGGAUGUGCUGAAGGUCUUCCAAGAGAUGCUAUUGUCUUGAAAGAGGCCAGGAAUAGGACACCCUGAAAGAUGUUUUUCUGUGGGCAAUAAAGUGGGAGAAAUAAAACUUUUUGGCAAAAUAAUAUAAAUGUUUACUGUAGUUUCUACAUGUAGGCAAAUACCUGGGGAAGAGCUCAUAUUAAAAUACCUUUUUUCUAUCCCUAAAGGUGUUUUUUACUUCCCACAGUGUACAUAUUCCCUCUUUAAUUGGCUCCCUCUUCUGAAGUCAGGCUGCAUCUUGGUAGUGCUUUGUGCAUCUUCAGUACUGCACAAGUGUCCAGCUCAUGGCGUUUAAUCGGUCAUAGACUCUCAACAAGAUUGGACAUCUUGUGGUGUUUGCCAGUUCACGUAUGGCACAUGAUUAUAUUCAGGGAGCAAUAGGUAUUAAAUGACAUUAAUUACCAUGAAUAUUCAUUUAAGAAUCUCGACCAAAUUCAGGCAGAUUAACAGUCCAAUGCAAAUACAAUGGUGUCACAGGUUUGAAAAGAGAUGUUGGAAUUUUUUCCCAAUGUUGCCCCUGCCCUUGUCUGUUUCUUCCAGGAUGGGGGUGGGGGUGGAGUGAGGCCACACAUGUGGGGCAGUGCAGGAGCAGGGAGAGUGGGAGGUUUCAUGGGGAAGCACAGUGGCCACAAGGAUAGCUAGGGAGUUCUUUGUUUGGGGGCUUUUGGGGUGGUGGUCCGGGACAGGACAGAGUGGGAGCCCGGUUUUUGGCCGCCUCUUUCUCUUUUCCUGAGAGGAAGUUUUUUUUCCCCAUGGGACACCUCGCAGAGAACGACCGAGAGAGAGUCACUGACCAUCUCAGAGUGAGGUAUUCUGCUUUCAAGACUGCCUGUGGGGAAAAAGGGACUCCUUCAUUUCUGACUGCGGGCACACAUGGCUGUGAGCAGCUCUUCAACUGCCAGGACAGUCCUGCCUUUCCCCCACACCCUCCCUGGGUUGCUGUGGGAUUCUCCCCCCCACCUGGGGAUUUGGGACUUUGUUUUGUUUCUUCUGAAAGUUUUUGGUUGCACCAUUUGUUGUUUAUUCAGAUUUUGUUAAUAAAAAGCUGUUUCUUUUUCCUUUUCCACA
Pseudopipra pipra is the source of this 18161-nucleotide long non-coding RNA. RefSeq lists it as uncharacterized. Lineage: Eukaryota; Metazoa; Chordata; Aves; Passeriformes; Pipridae. The record is from RefSeq and is a predicted model, not a curated record. The transcript has 5 exons.